UACAGAGGUCCCAAGCGUUGUUCGGAUUCACUGGGCGUAAAGGGUGCGUAGGCGGCCAGGUAAGUCUGCUGUGAAAUCCCGCAGCUCAACUGCGGAACUGCAUUGGAAACUAUCUGGCUAGAGGAAUGGAGGGGAGACUGGAAUUCUCGGUGUAGCAGUGAAAUGCGUAGAUAUCGAGAGGAACACCUGCGGCGAAGGCGGGUUGCUGGGCUGACACUGACGCUGAAGCGCGAAAGCUAGGGGAGCGAACGGG
This 253-nucleotide ribosomal RNA is filed under the name uncultured bacterium. RNAcentral describes it as "partial 16S ribosomal RNA". It matches the Rfam family "Bacterial small subunit ribosomal RNA", at positions 524 to 776 of the family's 1533-position model. The record is from RNAcentral.